CAGGAAGUACGCGCCGAGGGUGUGCUGCGCUAUUUGUGGACGGCGAGCUGCCUGCUGAAUGAUGUCCAGCGGGCUUCCCAGAACCCUCACACUUCCUGUCUGUCACAGCGGCACAUAACGAACUCCGCUUCCUGUUUCUCAGGCAUGCGAGGACGGAGCAGAGGCCGGGUGUCCUGAACUGUCGGGGCUCACUGCUGCCCGCGGCGGUGGGGUCAGGGAGCCCCGCUGCAGGUUCUUUGUGAUGAACACAGAACCCCGAGAGCGUCUGCAUGCUGACUGAGCUCCGGCACCCCCCAUCCCCAUGGAUCCCUGAGAGUGUCUGCAAGCUGACCGAGCUCCGGCACCAUCCCCAUCCCCACGGAGCCCCGAGAGCGUCUGCACACUGACCAUGCUACUGCGCCCCCACUCAUCCCCACGGAGCCCCAAGAGCGUCUGCAAGCUGACCGAGCUCCGGCACCCCGUCCCCAUGGAGCUCGGUCAGCUUGCAGACACUCUCAGGGUCAGUCUGCACACUGACCGUGCUACUGCACCCCCACCCAUCCUGACGGAGCCCCGAGAGCAUCUGCACACUCACCAAGUUCUGGCGCCCCCCCCAUCCCCACGGAGCCCCGAGAGCGUCAGCGCACUGACCGAGCUCUGGUGCCCCCCUCAUUCCCACGGAGCCCCAAGAGCGUCUGCAUGCUGACCGAGCUCCGGCGCCCUCACCCAUCCCCACGGAGCCCCAAGAGCGUCUGCACACUGACCGAGCUCUGGUGCCCCCCUCAUUCCCACGGAGCCCCGAGAGCGUCUGCACGCUGACCGAGCUCUGGUGCCUCCCUCAUUCCCACAGAGCCCUGAGAGCGUCUGCAUGCUGACCGAGCUCCGGCGCCCCCCAUCCCUACGGAGCCCCGAGAGCGUCUGCACACUGACCGAGCUCCGGCACCCCCACCCAUCCCUACGGAGCCCCGAGAGCGUCUGCACGCUGACCGAGCUCUGGCGCCACCAUCCCCACGGAGCCCCGAGAGCGACUGCACACUGACCGAGCUCUGGUGCCUCCCUCAUUCCCACGGAGCCCCGAGAGCAUCUGCAUGUUGACCGAGCUCCGACACCCCCACCCAUCCCUACGGAGCCCCGAGAGCGUCUACACACUUACCGAGCUCCAGCAGCCCUCCAUCCCCACUCGGCAUCCUGCUGAUCUUCUCCACCUGCUCAGUCUCAGAUCGUUUGGAGCCACCCAGCGGGAAGGAAGCUGCUGUGAGAAAGUGCCCGUGUUUUGGGCCGGAGCAGGAAGCACCUCAUCUCAGGCAUCUCCCCCAACAAUGCCGUGGCGUCACAGCUGUGCGCUGGAGCUCCGCCAUUCACAUGGAAAGCUGCACCUAGAAUUCCAUUCCCAGGUUCGGGCUGUUGGAAGCAAGGAAAUGACAAUAAGGUGGGAAACUGGCUAAAAUUUCCUAUGUUCAUCCAUGUUCAUGGAUUUGCUGGAACUCGAGAGUGAGGUAUUCAGAUAAAGUAUCUGCAUACAGCACAGCCCCCACAAUGUACUCAUAACUUCGAGGUAAAAGUCCCUGUGAACCUGUAUCAUACUGUAGCUUACAAUACAUAUAUACUGUAAAGGGUUCUGUAAAGACCUCCAGCAUUAGAACAAGGGGGGAAAAAAUCCCACAUCUGCAGCUUGGAAAAUACCAUUAGUGUCAAGGGCGUCUUGUGCUACUUUGUUACCUUCAUUAGCCCAGUUGGCCUCUUCCAUUUCAAAGCAAAUCACGAGGAUGUCUGAAGCUGACUGACUUCAUAUAUAACCACAGACUGCAGGACUGCUUACACCAGAGCGAGAAACUCUAUUAGAAAUCAGGAUUCACAUUUAAGAAAUGAUUUUCUGAAGCCAGUUUAUGAUGGCUUUAUGCAUAUUGAAGAACUUCUCCUUGGAUAAAGACACCAGUUUGCAGGACUUCACUAAAGUUAACUUCGGUUCAUGCAUGUGAGAAUGCAACAAUACGGCGAGGAGCUCGGACACUUGGGAGAGGCUCAGCGUAGAGCUGCUGCUCCUCCGCAUUGAAAGGAGCCAGUUGAGGUGGUUUGGGUAUCUAUCUAGGAUGCCUCCCUGAGGAGGUGUUUCAGGCCUGUCCAACCAGGAAGAGACUCUGCGGCACGCUGGACAGAGUAUAGGAGGGUACAGGAGUAUGGGAGUAUGGUGGGUGAUGGAUGGAUGGAUGGAUGGAUUCACUCUGAGUUUGGCUAAGCCUGUCUAAAGCUAGAGGUGAACCUGUUGGACAUUUUGUUGCUUAAAAUACAAAUAAUAGAUCAUGUUUAUUUUUCCAACUUUAACUGCCUAAAGAGACUAUUGAUUAAUAAUUAUUUGUAAUUGUUUUUGAGUUAAUAGUUUGGAGGCAGUGGAGUCCUCACGAAUGUUGAUAUAGCUAACACGCUCAUGUGGAGAGUGGGUGUGUGUGUUUAUUAAUGUUAAUUAUUGUAUUCAUUAUUGUAAAUCUGAAGGAAAAGAACAGAAAAAACUGCAGUUGUAAACAGCUUUCGAAGAUUCCCACAGAGCUGCGGGCAUUAGGAAGGAGCAUGAGUAUGAAACCUGCGGGAGAGGAAACCAAAUCAGUCCUUGAGUCCCCCCAAAGAAGGGCCUCAGCAUAUCUGCCCCCCACUUAGCAACACCUUUAAUGGGCUGCCCCUUCUGCCGAAGUAAGCUGGAACAGUGCUGUAACUAGUAACUCUGCACGGUAUGGUGGGUCGGUUCCUGUUUUCCAGUGGAAAAGCACCAUUAUUAAAGCAGAGCACUGGGUAGUUGAUUUUCACCGCUUUGUCAGCAUAGUGCUCAGUUGCGUCUUAGUCAGAGGGUUGUUUUAUAGGGCUAGAUGGAGUAGGUUUGUUUGUUUUCUUUGUGCCUGUCAGAUGCCAGCAGGUACUGGCUUGGUGCUUUGGAUGGCUUGGGGGUAAGAGCUCUUGAGUGGCAUCUUGCUUUGGGGAUCUAUGGUCCCUAGUAGCUGGCAUCCUACAGCUAGUGUGCUGUGCCACUGGUGUCCUCUUUGGAUUUUUUCUAUGUGUGUGUCCUGGAUUUUGAGCACCUAGCCCUUUUUAGCUUCCCUGGUUCCCAGACAGGUUUUCCGGUUCUCUGCAUUUGAGUCUGCCUUCUGGUUCACCUCAUCCUGAAGCCAUCAAUCCAGUCAGAGGCCCAAGUCCCCCUGGUUCCCUGUGUCCAGUAACGUUUAGACCAGUGUUAUUCAACUCACGGUCCUCGAGGUCCGAGCACUGCUGGUUUUUCAGCCUUCCUUUACCUGUCAGUCAGCUGUGAAGCCUCUGACCAAUCAGAAUCAGUAAUUAUUAAACAACUACCUGGGAGAACUGAAAACACGGCCUGGAUUUGGAAUCGAGGUCCAGAGUUGAAGAACCCUGGUUUAGACUGUUGGUCACAGAAGUGAGGGAGCAGAAGACCUGGUGUAAUGGAUGGGUGGAUGGAUGGAUGGAUGGAUGGGUCGAUGGCCCAGGGUGAGAUGUUCUGUCACAGACCUUCUUUAUGGAGGCUAAUAAAUGUUUUUAACCAGUAAAAUCCAAA
This is a long non-coding RNA of Paramormyrops kingsleyae, 3535 nucleotides long. RefSeq lists it as uncharacterized. NCBI's taxonomy places the organism in Eukaryota, Metazoa, Chordata, Actinopteri, Osteoglossiformes, Mormyridae. The record is from RefSeq and is a predicted model, not a curated record.